AGAGAAGCAAAGUGAUGAGCAGUACUGGCUGGAGCCCCAAAGAGGCACGUGUGUGUUUGUGUGUGUCUGUGUAUAUCUGUGUUUUUGUCUGUGCGUGCACAUGUGUGUCUGGUAGUACAAAUGUGUGUGAUUGAUUAUAGGGAACUAGCUAGCUAUGUGCCUUCUCUUAGGCCAUGACAGUCAAACUGAUAAGAUCUGAUUGCUUC
Molecule: non-coding RNA, 206 nt
Organism: Otolemur garnettii (small-eared galago)
Lineage: Eukaryota; Metazoa; Chordata; Mammalia; Primates; Galagidae
Source: Rfam